Molecule: long non-coding RNA, 1010 nt
Filed under: Danio rerio (zebrafish)
Lineage: Eukaryota; Metazoa; Chordata; Actinopteri; Cypriniformes; Danionidae
Description: lncRNA (ENSDARG00000117487.1)
Source: RNAcentral
GAUAUCGGUGAGCAAAUCAAGGCAAAAACAAUAGUAUAACUUCAUUCUAUCAAAAAUGAGGGUUUUGUUUUUACUGUAAUCAGUUCAUAAUAAAAUGCAAAAAAACAAAACAAAAAAAAACAUGCUGCAUUAGGCCUAAUGUAAAGCAAUGUUUAGUUAUUUUUAAACAUUAUUAAAUAAAUUAGGAAAUUACCCAUGGCAACUAUAAUAACCUUCGGCCCACUAGCCUUAAUCAAGUUUGGUUUUUGGCCUUUCAUAAGAAAAAGUUUGGGCAUCCAGGUUCUAAAAUAUUUUCAGAAAUAGCAAACGUUUAUUGUAGGCGUGUUCUUAGUUUCUGGUGUUGUCCAAUUAGACAGCUCGGCUAAUUAAUCUCAAAUGUUAGGCUAGGCUAUUUCAAAUGUAUUUUCAGACAAACAAAUUCGAUAAAGAUGUAAUUAGAAUUUGUGAAAUUAUUGUAAAUUACUUUAUUCUUCGCUCGCAUUUCCUAAUAAGUUUAAACGGAAGUGAAGAGGCAGCCCAACGUUACUUUAUCUGAGGCCUAACUCGUUUGUUUACAUAAGCUAGCAUGUUGUACAUUUCUGACACACGAGAUAAAGUCGGGAUUUUCUAAACAUAUUUCUUCAACGUCACUGUGGAAAGUCGGCGAAAGUGAAGUGUACACAGCGUGCUUUCUGUGGAUGGCCUGCGUGUCUUCAGCACCGGCACAAUCCUCUAAGGACCUGGCCUGACUCAUCUGCGUGUGUGACAGGUAAGAAAAGAUACCAAACAACUCACAGUAAGACAAGCAGAGAGCUGCCCUGCACAGCGCCCUAUUUUUUUUUCCCCCUUUCUUUUUUGCGGCGACUAGAUAUUCAUUUUCACACCUCACUUCUCCAUAUUUAUGAUUGCCCAUGAGAACAUUUUUUAUUUAUGUUGACUUCUUUCAUAAACUGGACAGCGGUUUCUUUUUUUUUCUCUCUUUCUCCAUGUGUGUCAAAACAAUCUCUGAUUUAUAAUUUAUGUGAUUUAUG